CAAGUGAAGAGUUUGAUCCUGGCUCAGAUUGAACGCUGGCGGCGUGCUUAACACAUGCAAGUCGAGCGGUAACAGGCGUAGCAAUACGUGCUGACGAGCGGCGAACGGGUGAGUAAUGCUU
Molecule: ribosomal RNA, 121 nt
Filed under: Gammaproteobacteria bacterium
Lineage: Bacteria; Pseudomonadati; Pseudomonadota; Gammaproteobacteria
Description: partial 16S ribosomal RNA
Rfam family: Bacterial small subunit ribosomal RNA
Source: RNAcentral